CACACUAUCAUUAACUGAAUCCAUAGGUUAAUGAGGCGAACCGGGGGAACUGAAACAUCUAAGUACCCCGAGGAAAAGAAAUCAACCGAGAUUCCCCCAGUAGCGGCGAGCGAACGGGGAGCAGCCCAGAGCCUGAAUCAGUGUGUGUGUUAGUGGAAGCGUCUGGAAAGGCGCGCGAUACAGGGUGACAGCCCCGUACACAAAAAUGCACAUGCUGUGAGCUCGAUGAGUAGGGCGGGACACGUGGUAUCCUGUCUGAAUAUGGGGGGACCAUCCUCCAAGGCUAAAUACUCCUGACUGACCGAUAGUGAACCAGUACCGUGAGGGAAAGGCGAAAAGAACCCCGGCGAGGGGAGUGAAAAAGAACCUGAAACCGUGUACGUACAAGCAGUGGGAGCACGCUUAGGCGUGUGACUGCGUACCUUUUGUAUAAUGGGUCAGCGACUUAUAUUCUGUAGCAAGGUUAACCGAAUAGGGGAGCCGAAGGGAAACCGAGUCUUAACUGGGCGUUAAGUUGCAGGGUAUAGACCCGAAACCCGGUGAUCUAGCCAUGGGCAGGUUGAAGGUUGGGUAACACUAACUGGAGGACCGAACCGACUAAUGUUGAAAAAUUAGCGGAUGACUUGUGGCUGGGGGUGAAAGGCCAAUCAAACCGGGAGAUAGCUGGUUCUCCCCGAAAGCUAUUUAGGUAGCGCCUCGUGAACUCAUCUCCGGGGGUAGAGCACUGUUUCGGCAAGGGGGUCAUCCCGACUUACCAACCCGAUGCAAACUGCGAAUACCGGAGAAUGUUAUCACGGGAGACACACGGCGGGUGCUAACGUCCGUCGUGAAGAGGGAAACAACCCAGACCGCCAGCUAAGGUCCCAAAGUCAUGGUUAAGUGGGAAACGAUGUGGGAAGGCCCAGACAGCCAGGAUGUUGGCUUAGAAGCAGCCAUCAUUUAAAGAAAGCGUAAUAGCUCACUGGUCGAGUCGGCCUGCGCGGAAGAUGUAACGGGGCUAAACCAUGCACCGAAGCUGCGGCAGCGACGCUUAUGCGUUGUUGGGUAGGGGAGCGUUCUGUAAGCCUGUGAAGGUGUGCUGUGAGGCAUGCUGGAGGUAUCAGAAGUGCGAAUGCUGACAUAAGUAACGAUAAAGCGGGUGAAAAGCCCGCUCGCCGGAAGACCAAGGGUUCCUGUCCAACGUUAAUCGGGGCAGGGUGAGUCGACCCCUAAGGCGAGGCCGAAAGGCGUAGUCGAUGGGAAACAGGUUAAUAUUCCUGUACUUGGUGUUACUGCGAAGGGGGGACGGAGAAGGCUAUGUUGGCCGGGCGACGGUUGUCCCGGUUUAAGCGUGUAGGCUGGUUUUCCAGGCAAAUCCGGAAAAUCAAGGCUGAGGCGUGAUGACGAGGCACUACGGUGCUGAAGCAACAAAUGCCCUGCUUCCAGGAAAAGCCUCUAAGCAUCAGGUAACAUCAAAUCGUACCCCAAACCGACACAGGUGGUCAGGUAGAGAAUACCAAGGCGCUUGAGAGAACUCGGGUGAAGGAACUAGGCAAAAUGGUGCCGUAACUUCGGGAGAAGGCACGCUGAUAUGUAGGUGAAGCGACUUGCUCGUGGAGCUGAAAUCAGUCGAAGAUACCAGCUGGCUGCAACUGUUUAUUAAAAACACAGCACUGUGCAAACACGAAAGUGGACGUAUACGGUGUGACGCCUGCCCGGUGCCGGAAGGUUAAUUGAUGGGGUUAGCGCAAGCGAAGCUCUUGAUCGAAGCCCCGGUAAACGGCGGCCGUAACUAUAACGGUCCUAAGGUAGCGAAAUUCCUUGUCGGGUAAGUUCCGACCUGCACGAAUGGCGUAAUGAUGGCCAGGCUGUCUCCACCCGAGACUCAGUGAAAUUGAACUCGCUGUGAAGAUGCAGUGUACCCGCGGCAAGACGGAAAGACCCCGUGAACCUUUACUAUAGCUUGACACUGAACAUUGAGCCUUGAUGUGUAGGAUAGGUGGGAGGCUUUGAAGUGUGGACGCCAGUCUGCAUGGAGCCGACCUUGAAAUACCACCCUUUAAUGUUUGAUGUUCUAACGUUGACCCGUAAUCCGGGUUGCGGACAGUGUCUGGUGGGUAGUUUGACUGGGGCGGUCUCCUCCUAAAGAGUAACGGAGGAGCACGAAGGUUGGCUAAUCCUGGUCGGACAUCAGGAGGUUAGUGCAAUGGCAUAAGCCAGCUUGACUGCGAGCGUGACGGCGCGAGCAGGUGCGAAAGCAGGUCAUAGUGAUCCGGUGGUUCUGAAUGGAAGGGCCAUCGCUCAACGGAUAAAAGGUACUCCGGGGAUAACAGGCUGAUACCGCCCAAGAGUUCAUAUCGACGGCGGUGUUUGGCACCUCGAUGUCGGCUCAUCACAUCCUGGGGCUGAAGUAGGUCCCAAGGGUAUGGCUGUUCGCCAUUUAAAGUGGUACGCGAGCUGGGUUUAGAACGUCGUGAGACAGUUCGGUCCCUAUCUGCCGUGGGCGCUGGAGAACUGAGGGGGGCUGCUCCUAGUACGAGAGGACCGGAGUGGACGCAUCACUGGUGUUCGGGUUGUCAUGCCAAUGGCACUGCCCGGUAGCUAAAUGCGGAAGAGAUAAGUGCUGAAAGCAUCUAAGCACGAAACUUGCCCCGAGAUGAGUUCUCCCUGACCCUUUAAGGGUCCUGAAGGAACGUUGAAGACGACGACGUUGAUAGGCCGGGUGUGUAAGCGCAGCGAUGCGUUGAGCUAACCGGUACUAAUGAACCGUGAGGCUUAACCUU
This 2762-nucleotide ribosomal RNA is filed under the name Escherichia coli. Its description in RNAcentral is "partial 23S ribosomal RNA". It matches the Rfam family "Bacterial large subunit ribosomal RNA". The record is from RNAcentral. Lineage: Bacteria; Pseudomonadati; Pseudomonadota; Gammaproteobacteria; Enterobacterales; Enterobacteriaceae.